CCAGAGACGAGGCUGAAGAGAAGUCUGAGGAGAAGCAAUGAAUCAUUCAGUCUUUUUCCUUUCCCUUUCUUUUUAAAUAUUUGCCCCACCCUUUAAGGUAUGUUUUUAUUCUGUUUUGUUUUUACAAGGGACUUUAUAAAGAACUGAAUUCCAACCUUCAGGUUGUUUGUUUUUUUAUUUUUUUUAACUUUUUUAUUUCCUCCAAGUUUUGACACCAUUGAACAUGACUUCAGAAAUCCAUUCCCCAGUCAUGAAAAUGUACUGUGCUAACUUUCUUUUCAAUAGUGGAAACACUUAUUUAUAGUCAUCAAAAAUACUGAAUAAAAAAUGCCUUUGAAAACCUGGAAAA
This 349-nucleotide long non-coding RNA is filed under the name Rattus norvegicus (Norway rat). RNAcentral describes it as "long non-coding RNA NONRATT008130". Lineage: Eukaryota; Metazoa; Chordata; Mammalia; Rodentia; Muridae. The record is from RNAcentral.